GCGGGUGUCGUAUAAUGGUUAUUAUGCUACCUUGCCAAGGUAGCGAAGGCGGUUCGAAUCCGCUCACCCGCU
This 72-nucleotide transfer RNA is filed under the name Parcubacteria group bacterium. RNAcentral describes it as "tRNA-Gly". It matches the Rfam family "tRNA". Rfam says of the family: Transfer RNA (tRNA) molecules are approximately 80 nucleotides in length. Their secondary structure includes four short double-helical elements and three loops (D, anti-codon, and T loops). The record is from RNAcentral.